This 346-nucleotide RNase P RNA is filed under the name bacterium. RNAcentral's name for it is "RNase P RNA component class A". It matches the Rfam family "Bacterial RNase P class A". Rfam says of the family: Ribonuclease P (RNase P) is a ubiquitous endoribonuclease, found in archaea, bacteria and eukarya as well as chloroplasts and mitochondria. Its best characterised activity is the generation of mature 5'-ends of tRNAs by cleaving the 5'-leader elements of precursor-tRNAs. The record is from RNAcentral.
CAAGUAAGUCAAGCGAUAGCCCCGACGUUACGUCGGGGAGGAAAGUCGGGACACUGACCCCGCCUCGGCGGGGAAGCGUAGCGGGUAACGCCCGUCCACCGCAAGGUGCGAGGUGCGAACAGAAACGUUCCAAGGCGAAAGCCGAGGAAGGGCCCGAUCCCAACGUAGAAGGCCCAGCUCCGCCAUAGGGACAAGAAAGCGGAGAUGAAACGGCAAAAUCCUUACGUCAGUGCAAGGCCGAGCCAGGCGCCGUCUGGUGCCUGGAGCGCCGCAUGAACCCGAGAGUAAUCAAGGGUCCAGACAGAUUAUCGCAUAAACAGAAUCCCGCUUACGACUUGCUGGCUAU